This 163-nucleotide ribosomal RNA is filed under the name Ludekia borneensis. RNAcentral's name for it is "5.8S ribosomal RNA". It matches the Rfam family "5.8S ribosomal RNA". Rfam says of the family: 5.8S ribosomal RNA (5.8S rRNA) is a component of the large subunit of the eukaryotic ribosome. It is transcribed by RNA polymerase I as part of the 45S precursor that also contains 18S and 28S rRNA. RNAcentral also lists the same sequence under 3 other names. The record is from RNAcentral. Lineage: Eukaryota; Viridiplantae; Streptophyta; Magnoliopsida; Gentianales; Rubiaceae.
CAAACGACUCUCGGCAACGGAUAUCUCGGCUCUCGCAUCGAUGAAGAACGUAGCGAAAUGCGAUACUUGGUGUGAAUUGCAGAAUCCCGUGAACCAUCGAGUCUUUGAACGCAAGUUGCGCCCGAAGCCGUCAGGCCGAGGGCACGUCUGCCUGGGCGUCACG